CCACUUAUUUUUUCAACAAAAUACUAUUCCCCCCAUUUUCAUUACCAAACAGGGGCUUAAAGUACACAAGAAUAAUAGUCACCUAGAAUUUUAAGAAGGUGAAAAAUAAUCAUUCAUACAUACAAACAAAUUGAAUUCAUAUAAAGACAACAUCUACCUAAAACAUCAUGAAUGAAAAAUCAUUUUCAAAGUAAUUCUAUUAACAAUCAUUCAAUCAUCUGUCUUUAAUUUCCCCUCUCAUUUUAGAUGGUUGUUCAAUCAUCUAUUCCAACAUAUCAUAGCCCAGUCACAAAACAAAAUUCGGUAAUUGAAAAUUGAAUAUAUCUGCCAUUGAUGUUGAAUCAAUCUCUUCCUUGUUUGGUUGCUUAACCUUCCAUAGCCACUUAUAAUGAAUAAGUUAGAGUUUGGACAAAGAUCUCUCUCAAUGCAUGUGGUAAGUGUAAUAAGUUUCUUCAGGGAUCUCAUUUGGUGAAGC
Molecule: long non-coding RNA, 475 nt
Filed under: Olea europaea subsp. europaea
Lineage: Eukaryota; Viridiplantae; Streptophyta; Magnoliopsida; Lamiales; Oleaceae
Source: RNAcentral